Molecule: unclassified non-coding RNA, 349 nt
Filed under: Hevea brasiliensis (rubber tree)
Lineage: Eukaryota; Viridiplantae; Streptophyta; Magnoliopsida; Malpighiales; Euphorbiaceae
Source: RNAcentral
GUUGCCUUUUGUUGAGAAAAUAUAUUACAUUUACAAUACAAAAAGCUGAGAUCUAAGAUAAUACAUCUCCUUGUUCUUUCUGAUACUUAAGCUUCUUUUACUUAAAAUCCUAAUCAGAAAUCCUGCUGUAAAUUUCACAAGCUAAGGUCUAUAAACUAUAAUAAUAUCAAUACCUUUCUAUAUACUAAAAAUUACAGCUUCAUUCCGGCAAGUAAUUGAGCUUCAAAUGCUGCUACACUUCAAUUUAUCAUCUGGGCUACUUCCACCUUCUUUCUUAACAGCAAUUACAUCUGUAAGUUUAUGAGGUUCAGCCUGUUCCAGCAUUUGAACUACCAUUCUCAUUGAUGGU